Small nuclear RNA from Pteropus vampyrus (large flying fox), 105 nucleotides. Lineage: Eukaryota; Metazoa; Chordata; Mammalia; Chiroptera; Pteropodidae. The record is from Ensembl.
GUGCUCACUUCACCAGCACAUAUACUGGAAUUGAAGCAAUACAGAAGAUUAGCAUGACUCUUGAGCAAAGAUGACACACAAAUUCUUGAAGUGUUGUAUAUAUAU